ACCACGUGCAGGGGACAGAGAAGGGAGGCGACCAAUAAGAACAGAGGUUGGAGCACAGCAGUUAACGGGAUUGGAUAACGGACAGACCCAAGGGGCGUAACCCAGAGACUCUAAUGGGAGGUUAUGGGAGGUGAAAGGGAAAGGUGGGAGGAGACGAACAGACGCUCUAAGGGAGUGAAGGGGUGGAGCUUAAGGGAAAGAGGCAGGACAUAGACCUCCACAAGAGAAGGGGAUAUAAGGAGGGCAGAACAUUGGAUACCGCAGAAAAGAAGGCCAAUCACUUAACGCAAUGGGCGGGUCAUUGACAGCCUCUCCCGCUCAGGAGGAGAGGCUUAAAGUAGAUAUGCAAGCCAUUGGAUACCACAAGAGAAGCGCCUCAAGGAUCCAUGGUAAGAACUAAAAUGAACCAGGGUGCUUGAGGAAAAAAAGCUGAAUAAUGGAGACGACUUCUUCUCUCCUGGGGGAUCACAGAGGGUUACUGGAUGAAGUGAGUUUAACCAGACACUGGGAGAAUGAAUAGAAGUUGGACAUGAUAGUGAGGCGAGCCCUGGGAGGGCAUGAGGAGCAGAGGGAAGAGCAAAAACAAGCGUCUGAUCCUCACUUAAGGUCAGGAGUACGAGACCAGCCUGGCCAACAUGGUGAAAUCCCAUCUCUAGAAAAAAUACAAAAAUUAGCCGGGCGUGGUGGUGGGCGCCUAUACUCCUAGCUACUUGGGAGGCUGAGGCAGGAUAAUCACUUGAACCUGGGAGGCGGAGGGUGCAGUGAGCCGAGAUCACGCCGUUACACUACAACCUGGGUGACAGAGCGAGACUCCGUUGCAAAAAACAAACGAGACCGGGCGCGGUGGCUCACGCCUGUA
This 859-nucleotide long non-coding RNA is filed under the name Homo sapiens (human). Its description in RNAcentral is "HSALNT0254754". The record is from RNAcentral. Lineage: Eukaryota; Metazoa; Chordata; Mammalia; Primates; Hominidae.